UGUCUGACACGCCCCCAUUCGCCAUUUUGAAGGUAUUCGCGGACGCAAACACUAGGAAGAAUGGAUAAGAAAAAGCAGAACGAGAAAAUUCCUUACAGAGAAAAACUUACAAAUGAUGCCAGGGAUCGGUAUUUGGCUAAAUUGUCAAAAAUCAACAAUAUAGAUCCGUAUGAUCUCACAUAAAAAAUGGACAUUGUUGCCUCUAACUUCAUCUCUGGAUAUAACAAACUACCUUGUCUAUGGUAUCAGCGCUUACACAUAUGAACAGUUCAAGAACUAUCAAUCUCUUGAAGCCCACGGACAUUUCAUCAAUGGCUGGGUACAGGAUCUGUUCACAUUUCGAACGCAGUACUGCGACAACACAAUCGUCACUGCAAAGGGACGUUUCCAAGAUGUCCACUAGAAGGAGCACUUCUCCAAGGAAUAUGCAGUCCAGCCUGAAGCUGAGCUGUUCUGUCUCGAGUUCUGAGCUCCUGCACUGUUUCACGGCCUCACACAUUAUGGGUUACAGGACGUGAGACCUUAUUUGGAAGAGUAUAACAACAUAAAUAAAGGUUUUGUCAAAA
Long non-coding RNA from Paramormyrops kingsleyae, 566 nucleotides. RefSeq lists it as uncharacterized. Lineage: Eukaryota; Metazoa; Chordata; Actinopteri; Osteoglossiformes; Mormyridae. The record is from RefSeq and is a predicted model, not a curated record.